Molecule: long non-coding RNA, 501 nt
Organism: Hyla sarda
Lineage: Eukaryota; Metazoa; Chordata; Amphibia; Anura; Hylidae
Exons: 4
Source: RefSeq, a predicted model, not a curated record
CGACAGCAUACCAAGGCACUAAAGAAUGAACCAAACUGCUUGUACAACCAAUGAUGGACAGCAUACCAAGGCACUAAAGAAUGAACCAAACUGAUUGUACAACCAAUGAUGGACAGCAGGCAGAUCAUACUUGGCUCUGAAAUCCUCCCAUCGUAAGACAACUCCACUGGUGCUGUCCAAAAGAUUAUAUAAGAACUGCAUGACAAAGAUAGGCCACACCCCCGGAUCUCCCCCUCCUGGAGGACACAGAUCUCAUUUACCGGUAUCUUCUCCAACUUUAGCUAGGUGGAUCAGACAAGUCAUGUCUCUAUUCCAGUUCUGUUCAUUCUGUUUUCAACACGAGAACUUCAACUUUAUAUUAAUCUCAUCUACCACUUCAUCAAAGAAAGAGGAGGGGCUUCACCUGAUGGGUCCUUGUAUUCACCUGGACUGUACCAUUACUGAUUAAAUACUAGACUUAAUGUACUGCUUCAACUUUUUUUCUUGUCAACUGUUUGUUAA